This 253-nucleotide ribosomal RNA is filed under the name uncultured bacterium. RNAcentral describes it as "partial 16S ribosomal RNA". It matches the Rfam family "Bacterial small subunit ribosomal RNA", at positions 524 to 776 of the family's 1533-position model. The record is from RNAcentral.
UACAGAGGGCGCGAGCGUUGUCCGGAAUUACUGGGCGUAAAGCGCGUGUAGGCGGCUAUGUAAGUCGGGCGUGAAAUCCCACGGCUCAACCGUGGAAGUGCACCCGAAACUGCGUAGCUAGAGUCCUGGAGAGGAAGGUGGAAUGCUUGGUGUAGAGGUGAAAUUCGUAGAUAUCAAGCGGAACACCGGUGGCGAAGGCGGCCUUCUGGACAGUGACUGACGCUGAGACGCGAAAGCGUGGGGAGCAAACAGG